This 492-nucleotide ribosomal RNA is filed under the name uncultured bacterium. RNAcentral describes it as "partial 16S ribosomal RNA". It matches the Rfam family "Bacterial small subunit ribosomal RNA", at positions 29 to 507 of the family's 1533-position model. The record is from RNAcentral.
AGUGAACGCUGGCGGUAGGCCUAACACAUGCAAGUCGAGCGGCAGCACAGUAAGAGCUUGCUCUUACGGGUGGCGAGUGGCGGACGGGUGAGGAAUACAUCGGAAUCUACUUUUUCGUGGGGGAUAACGUAGGGAAACUUACGCUAAUACCGCAUACGACCUACGGGUGAAAGCAGGGGAUCUUCGGACCUUGCGCGAUUGAAUGAGCCGAUGUCGGAUUAGCUAGUUGGCGGGGUAUAGGCCCACCAAGGCGACGAUCCUUAGCUGGUCUGAGAGGAUGAGCAGCCGAACUGGAACUGUGAGACGGUCCUAACUCCUAGGGGAGGCAGCGGGGGGGAAUAUUGGACAAUGGGCGCAAGCCUGAUCCAGCCAUACCGCGUGGGUGAAGGAGGCCUUCGGGUUUUAAAGCCCUUUUGUUGGGAAAGAAAAGCAGCAGGUUAAUACCCCGCUGUUCUGACGGUACCCAAAGAAUAAGCACCGGCUAACUUCGUG